UACGUAGGGGGCGAGCGUUGUCCGGAAUCAUUGGGCGUAAAGCGCGUGUAGGCGGCUCGAUAAGUCCGGUGUGAAAUCUUGGGGCUCAACCCCAAGCCUGCACUGGAUACUGUCGAGCUUGAGUCCGGGAGGGGAGAGCGGAAUUCCUAGUGUAGCGGUGAAAUGCGCAGAUAUUAGGAAGAACACCGGUGGCGAAGGCGGCUCUCUGGAACGGUACUGACGCUGAGACGCGAAAGCGUGGGGAGCGAACAGG
RNAcentral lists this ribosomal RNA (253 nucleotides) under uncultured bacterium. RNAcentral's name for it is "partial 16S ribosomal RNA". It matches the Rfam family "Bacterial small subunit ribosomal RNA", at positions 524 to 776 of the family's 1533-position model. The record is from RNAcentral.